GUACUCGCUUUGGCAGCAUAUAUAUUAAAAUUGGAAAGAUACAGAGCAGAUCAGCAUGGCCCCUGCACAAGGUUGACAUGCAAAUUCAUGAAGCAUUCCAUAUUUUU
Macaca fascicularis (crab-eating macaque) is the source of this 107-nucleotide small nuclear RNA. NCBI's taxonomy places the organism in Eukaryota, Metazoa, Chordata, Mammalia, Primates, Cercopithecidae. The record is from Ensembl.